CCUACGGGAGGCAGCAGUAGGGAAUAUUGGACAAUGGGUGAGAGCCUGAUCCAGCCAUGCCGCGUGCAGGAAGAAGGCGUUAUGCGUUGUAAACUGCUUUAGCCAGGGGAUAAAAAGACUCUGCGGAGUUAAUUGAAGGUACCUGGAUAAUAAGCCACGGCUAACUACGUGCCAGCAGCCGCGGUAAUACGUAGGUGGCAAGCGUUGUCCGGAUUUAUUGGGUUUAAAGGGUGCGUAGGCGGCCCUGUAAGUCAGUGCUGAAAUAUCCCGGCUUAACCGGGAGGGUGGCAUUGAUACUGCAGGGCUUGAGUACAGAUGAAGUAGGCGGAAUUGACGGUGUAGCGGUGAAAUGCAUAGAUAUCGUCAAGAACACCGAUAGCGAAGGCAGCUUACUAAGCUGUAACUGACGCUGAGGCACGAAAGUGUGGGGAUCAAACAGGAUUAGAUACCCUGGUAGUCCACACUGUAAACGUUGAUGACUCGAUGUUGGCGAUACACAGCCAGCGUCCAAGAGCAAUCGUUAAGUCAUCCACCUGGGGAGUACGCCGGCAACGGUGAAACUCAAAGGAAUUGACGG
RNAcentral lists this ribosomal RNA (577 nucleotides) under uncultured bacterium. RNAcentral describes it as "bacterial SSU rRNA". It matches the Rfam family "Bacterial small subunit ribosomal RNA", at positions 338 to 916 of the family's 1533-position model. The record is from RNAcentral.